UUCGCAAUGCCCGAAAGGGUGAACGAGCGACGCCGCGUGCGGGAUGAAGGGCUUCGGCUCGUAAACCGCUUUUUUUCGGGAAGAAUGCAUCGGCCGCGAACCGGUGAGGGACGGUACCGGAAGAAUAAGCCCCGGCUAACUCCGUGCCAGCAGCCGCGGUAAGACGGAGGGGGCGAGCGUUGUUCGGAAUUAUUGGGCGUAAAGGGCGCGUAGGCGGAUCGGCGUGUCUGGCGUGAAAUCUCCACCACUCAACGGGGAGAGGUCGCUGGAAAUUACCGAUCUGGAGUUCGGUAGAGGACCAUGGAAUUCCAGGUGUAGCGGUGGAAUGCGUAGAUAUCUGGAAGAACACCGGUGGCGAAGGUGGUGGUCUGGGCCGAAACUGACGCUGAGGCGCGAAAGCUAGGGGAGCGAACGGGAUUAGAUACCCCGGUAGUCCUAGCCGUAAACGAUGGGCACUAAGUAGAGGGGUUUU
Molecule: ribosomal RNA, 472 nt
Filed under: uncultured anaerobic ammonium-oxidizing bacterium
Lineage: Bacteria
Description: bacterial SSU rRNA
Rfam family: Bacterial small subunit ribosomal RNA
Source: RNAcentral